This 438-nucleotide ribosomal RNA is filed under the name uncultured bacterium. RNAcentral describes it as "bacterial SSU rRNA". It matches the Rfam family "Bacterial small subunit ribosomal RNA", at positions 772 to 1197 of the family's 1533-position model. The record is from RNAcentral.
ACCUAAUAGAUACCCGGGUAGUCCACGCUGUAAACGAUGAGUGCUAGGUGUUAGGGGUUUCGUAUACCCUUGGUGCCGAAAGUUAAACAACAGUAAAGCACUCCGCCUGGGGAGGUACGCUCGCAAGAGUGAAACUCAAAGGAAUUGACGGGGACCCGGCACAAGCAGUGGAGUAUGUGGUUUAAAUUCGAAGCAACGCGAAGAACCUUACCAGGUCUUGACAUCCCUCUGAAUGUCCUAGAGAUAGGGCAGGCCUUCGGUACGAGAGGAGGACAGGUGGUGCAUGGUUGUCGUCAGCUCGUGUCGUGAGAUGUUGGGUUAAGUCCGCAACGAGCACAACCCUUCGACUUUAGUUACCUACGCACUAACGUUAGGGUCGACUCUAGAGUGACUGCCGGUGACAACCGGAGAAGGUGGGAGUGACGUCAAAUCAUCAUG